Mus musculus (house mouse) is the source of this 448-nucleotide long non-coding RNA. RefSeq annotates it as predicted gene, 53834. The transcript has 3 exons. The record is from RefSeq and is a predicted model, not a curated record. Lineage: Eukaryota; Metazoa; Chordata; Mammalia; Rodentia; Muridae.
UAAACACCAUAGCUAACUGCAUCCAUAAAUUCAAAGCGGCUGUGGAGCUAAGGUGUGGUCUGGGCUCUGCUGACAAUCUGGAAAGACUUGCUGGUUGGGAAGCCUGGAAGACAGAGAGGAUAAGGAAGGAGAGGAGGCAGUGAUGAGGACCUGUGGACUGUGGCCCUGGCCCAUCCCACGACCCAGGGGGACCCGUUUCUCCAACUGGAACCAACAAGCUGCGGCUGAGGCACUGGCAAGGAGGGAUCAGCACUACUGGAUCAUCUGCCUCCCGCAGCCAGUCUUUGGAUGUGAUGGCAGCAAGCAUAGGACCAUUGCUGUCUCCUGGAUGAUCAAUCAGAUGGAGACCAGACCACAAGUCAGGCUGAAGUAGCAAACGGCAAGCAAGCAAAUAAAAGCAGAACGCUCCAGACAAACUGGCUUAGUCCAGUUACUAGCUACUCUUAUC